AGCAGCAGCAACAAUUCCUCUCAUGGAACCAAAGUAGUGCAGCAAUCAGCACCUGUCAACAUUCCUGGCUGGUCAAAAUUUUACAAAAAGAAGUCAAAGAAAGCUUCCAAGAAUCCUAGUUCAUUGGAUGAUGAUGAUGAUGAUCAAGAAUCAGAUGGUGAUGAUUGUCAUGGGGUUAUGAAUGAAGAUAAUGAUGAUGAAUUUGAAGAAGAUAGUGAUUACCAUUAUAAAUUGCCCCCACAUGAGCUCAUUGCCACAAGGCUAGCAAGGAGCCAGAUUUCCUCAUUUUCUGU
This 293-nucleotide unclassified non-coding RNA is filed under the name Hevea brasiliensis (rubber tree). Lineage: Eukaryota; Viridiplantae; Streptophyta; Magnoliopsida; Malpighiales; Euphorbiaceae. The record is from RNAcentral.